RNAcentral lists this ribosomal RNA (472 nucleotides) under Asmenophylax sp. JM555. Its description in RNAcentral is "eukaryotic LSU rRNA". Lineage: Eukaryota; Metazoa; Arthropoda; Insecta; Hymenoptera; Ichneumonidae. The record is from RNAcentral.
CCUGAGAAACCCGAAAGAUCGAAUGGGGAGAUUCAUCGUCAGCGAUUGUGGUACGUGUGCGGUUCGCGAUGCCGGAGGCCUCGGUUUCAUGGCACGCGUCCGCAUGUCUUUUAUUGCCUCAGUCGUCUGCGUGCACUUCUCCCCUAGUAGGACGUCGCGACCCGUUGGGUGUCGGUCUACGACCCGGAUGGUAGCCUGUCUCGUGUGCGUCUCACGGCGUUACGCGGGGCAGACCACCGUGUGUCUGGCCGGCUGCCCGGCGGUACUCGCACGGUAUCUGGCCGCAAACAUUCGAACUGCGUCCGGCCCGUCGCAAGCGAGACAAGUGUUUCCCGGCUGUACGGAUUUAAUGCCGUCACCGGGCCUUGCCAGCUGUUGGUUGACGGUGUCCUAGGACUGGCUAAUACAAUUAUGAUACCGGUCGGCGACGCUACUGCUUUGGGUACUUUCAGGACCCGUCUUGAAACACGGA